UUUUUUCAAGUUGCCCAGAAAUCAAGAUUAAACCACUUGGUCCUAUGCUUUUGAAUGGUCUCACUAAGCUAAUAAAUGAAUAUAAAGAGGACCCUAAACUAUUGUCAAUGGCGUAUUCAGCUGUUGGAAAACUCUCUAGUCGAAUGCCUCAUUUAUUCACUAAGGAUAUAGCUCUUGUACAACAGCUUUUUGAAGCCCUGUGUAAGGAAGAACCUGAGACUCGACUCGCUAUUCAGGAAGCAUUGUCUAUGAUGGUUGGAGCUUAUAGUACCUUAGAAGGAGCACAGAGAACUUUAAUGGAGGCACUUGUAGCUUCAUAUUUAAUAAAGCCUGAAGUUCAAGUUCGGCAAGUUGCAGUGAAAUUUGCCAGCACGGUGUUUCCCUCAGAUCAUAUACCUUCCAGAUACUUGCUCCUACUGGCUGCCGGAGACCCGCGAGAAGAAGUUCAUGGUGAAGCACAGCGUGUAUUACGGUGUCUUCCUGGUAGAAACAAAAAGGAGAGUGCUUCUAAGCAGAUGCCGUCUUUUCCAGAAAUGGUGUAUUACAUUCAAGAAAAGG
RNAcentral lists this long non-coding RNA (558 nucleotides) under Rattus norvegicus (Norway rat). RNAcentral's name for it is "long non-coding RNA NONRATT023279". The record is from RNAcentral. Lineage: Eukaryota; Metazoa; Chordata; Mammalia; Rodentia; Muridae.